GUCCGCGGGCGCAAUAUCUCUGCGAAUGAGGGUUAGCUGCUUGCCGAAGGUACAGUACACGGGAUAAAAAGGAAAGCUGCAAAAAAACGGGAGGGAAAUACUUUCGGUAUUGACUGAGAGGCUUUAUUAGCCGUUGAUGCAUGUCAGAAAACAAAUUUUAACAUGCCGGUCCCGUGUUUUGCAGCAAACGGAAAAACUGCUACGGACCUGAGGCUGCGAUAGGCAGAGGAUAUUUAUUGAGAAUAAUUUGCAGACCAGGAUCCCAAUGCAAGUUCUCCAUUAAGCGGAGUGAUCAGGAUCUGAGUAUCAUUGACACUUAACAGUGAAAGGAAAGAGGUUUAACCAUUCUAUGCGUGGGAGAAUACUCCUGGACCUUUCGUGAUCUAAUCCCGUAACAGUGUGAGCUGCUACAAUGCACAUGCUAGUAAAAGCAUAAGAGGACAGAUGAGAUGAGUGCAUGGCUGGAGCUAUAACUUAAAAAGAUUUGGAUUCCUGAGGCAUUGAGACUGUUUGUUUGUUUCUGGGGAAGGUGGGACAUGCACAAGCUUGAACAAUUGUCCUGGGCAGAGCUGGGACAGAUAUUCUUGUUGAUGCUUUUGCUAGUUCCACUGGUGAGGAUUUAAACUCGUAUGACAGGGGAAUGGGAACCAAAGUAUACCUUUAGCAGUAAAAGACUCAAAUCAGCAAAUGGGACGUGAAAUUAGUUCAUGAUGUUGUCGGUGGCUGAAAGAUUAAAAGAAAGAAGGAUUAAUCAAGAUCAAAUCUCUUUUCAUACAUCAGUCCUGUGAUCCCAGGAAUUGGUCUGGUGAACCUUCUUUGCGAUCAUUCAGUAGCCAGACCAUCCUUCCUUUGGAAAGGAGAACAAAGGUGCACACUACUGCAGGUGUGGUCUCACCAAGGCCCUUAUAGAAAGACAUCCCUCCUCCUGUACUCGAAUCCUGUCACAAUGAAGGCCGAAAUAUCAUUUGCAUUCUUCACUACUUGCUGCUGCCUGUUUCCUAAAAGAGAAUAGGAGAGAAACACGGAACUAAAUGGGGUCAGACAGUCGGGUACAAUUGUUGAACACACUGUCCCCAUUGUAUCGGUGCUGGCCAUCAAGCACCUAUUUAAGCUAGGCCCGUUUUCUGGCACUCGGUGUGUAACCUAUAUUAUGGUGCAGUGGAUGAUCAUCUCAACACUUCUUCAAGAUUGCAAUGGUUCCUGCAUCUAUUAACAUUUCAGAUGCUGCCAGAUCUACUGUGUAUCUCCAUCUUUUUCUGUUUUUAUUCCAGAUUUCGGGUAUUUUGCUGUGUAUUCUUAGUCCUUCAGAAGCAUCAGAGGGUAUGGGGAGAAAACAGGAAUUGGAUUCAUUUUCAGAUGUAUAAAAUGCCUGCCCUUCAUGUCUGUCCAAACUCUAUCUCUUUUUGUAGUUUUGGGCAAACGCUGACUGUUUCCUUUCCCUGAAGGACAUUAAAUGAACCAGUUCAGUUUUACUGAUAAUCCAGCAGUGCCCCUCAGUGUUGCAUCCACAAUUGACCAGAUUAAUUUCUGAGUUUCACAAUCUUUGUGUGUGUUCUUCUGGUUUCUCUCUCUCUCUCUCUCUCUACUUUUCUUUUUUUUCUUCAGUUUGAAAUUUUGAUUGCAUUCAGAGAAAUCAAACAAAACCACAUCCAGAUCUGACACUCAAUCUGUUUGUCAUAACCUAAUUAUCUCAGGAUUUUGAACAUUAAAGGAAGAAGCACUGUUCACACCAGGGAGAAAUGCGUAUUGUCUGUGUGUCGAAGAGUCUUUGAAGAUUCAUCUGAAAUGCCCAAACACCAGCGCAGUCACACUUGGGAGAGACUGUGGAAAUGUGGGGAUUGUGGGAAGGGAUUUAUUUACCCAUCCCAGCUGGAAAUGCACCAACGCAGUCACACUGGGGAGAAACCGUUCAUUUGCUCUGAUUGUGGGCUGGGAUUCACUCAGUCAAGCAACCUGCUGAAACACCGAGUUCACAGUGGGGAGAGACUGUUCACAUGUUCCGAGUAUGGGAAGGGAUUUGCUCGCUCACUCAACCAACCUGCUGAGACACCAGCGAGUUCACUCUGGGGACAGACCAUUCACUUGUUCUAUGUGUGGAAAGGGAUUCACUCAAUCAUCCCAACUGUUAACACACCAGCAAGUUCACCACAACCACAUUUGAAGGAUUUUGCCCUUAAAUCAAGGAAUGAACUUUGAUCUUUGGGCUGUUUGUACUGGUGUCAUUAGUCCCUGCUCAAAACUUGAUCUUCUCUUGGGAAAUAAGGUAGGGCAGGUGACUGAGGGGUCAGCAGGGGCGAGAAUAUUUUGGGGCCUAUGAUUGUAUCUCUAUUAGUUUUAAAAUAAUUAUGGAAAAGGAUAGACUUUGGUCUAAGAGUCAAAGUUUUAAAUGAGACUAAGGCCAAUUUUGACACUACUAUGCUCCUUAAAAGCACAGUAAGACCGCCUAUGUGUGGGAAUGCACGAGUUGGGUGAGAUACAAAAAAGUAUUUUACAUCAGUAUUUACUGUGAUCAAGGAUACAAAAGCUAAAGAACUUAGAGAAAUGAAUGUGUAUCUUGAAAAGUUCCAUGUUGUGGAGGAGGUGGUGCUGGAUGCCUUACAGACCAUAAAGGUGGAUAAAUCCCCAGGACCUCUUCAGGUGUAUUCUCGAACUUUGCGGGAAGCUAGGCUUGCGAUUGGGCCCCUUGCUCAGAUAUUUGCACCAUUGACAGUCAUAGGUGAGCUGUUACACUGGAGGUUGGCUAAUCUGGUGCCAUUGUUUAAGAAAGGUGGUAACAGAAAACCAGGGAACAAUAAACUUUUGGUGAGCCUGACGUCAGCUGUGGGUAAGUUGUUGGAGGGAAUUCUGAGGGAUAGGAUUUACAUAUAUUUGGAAAGCGUGGACUGAAUGGGGAAUAGUCGACAUGGCUUUGUCCAUAGGAAAUUAUGUCUUACUAACUUGAUUGAGUUUUUUUGAAGAAGUUAGAAACAAGAUUGAUGGCAGAGCGGUGGAUGUUUUCGAUAUUCCGCAUGGUCGACUGAUUAACAAGGUUAGAUCACAUGGAAUCCAGGGAGAGCUGGCCAUUUGGAAAGGCGUUUGACCUGCAGUAUGCUGCAAGGAUUGGUACUUAGUAGCUAUAACUCGUACAUUCACAUCCAAAUCAUCUUUAUAAAUGACAAAAUGGAGUGGACCCAGCUCUGAUCCUUGCAGCACACCACUGGUCACAGGCCUCCAGUCUACAAAGCAACCCUCCACCAGCACUCCGUCUUCUACCUUCAAGUCAGAUCUGUUUCCAAAUGACUGGUUCUCUCUGUAUUCCAUGUGAUCUGACCUUGCUCAUCAGUCUACCAUGAGGAACCUUGUCAAACGCCUUAGUGACAUCCAUAUAGAAUACAUCCACCU
This is a long non-coding RNA of Stegostoma tigrinum, 3381 nucleotides long. RefSeq lists it as uncharacterized. The record is from RefSeq and is a predicted model, not a curated record. NCBI's taxonomy places the organism in Eukaryota, Metazoa, Chordata, Chondrichthyes, Orectolobiformes, Stegostomatidae. The transcript is spliced from 3 exons.